CACACUGGGUCCUCCAGGACACCCCGGCCUUCCAAAUAAAUACAUUCAUAAGCAAAUAAAUAAAUAAUAAAUAAAUAAUAAAUAAUAAGUGCAAAUAUAAAUAGAGGGGGGCUGGCUCUGUGAGGAAGGCUGUGCAUUGCACCUCAGGGAAGAGUCUGGAAAGGUCUGAAGGUAGGAAGGCCUGAGAUCUUAUCCAGCCUCAUUCUGAGAC
Molecule: non-coding RNA, 211 nt
Filed under: Mus musculus (house mouse)
Lineage: Eukaryota; Metazoa; Chordata; Mammalia; Rodentia; Muridae
Source: RNAcentral